GACGAACGCUGGCGGCGUGCUUAACACAUGCAAGUCGAACGGAAAGGCCCUGCUUUUGUGGGGUGCUCGAGUGGCGAACGGGUGAGUAACACGUGAGUAACCUGCCCUUGACUUUGGGAUAACUUCAGGAAACUGGGGCUCUUACCCGAUAGGAGAUCCUGCUGCAUGGUGGGGGUUGGUAAGUUUCGGCGGUUGGGGAUGGACUCGCGGCUUAUCCGCUUGUUUGGGGGGUAGUGGCUUACCAAGGCUUUGACGGGUAGCCGGCCUGAGAGGGGUACCAGCCACAAUGGGACUGAGAUACGGCCCAGACUCCUACGGGAGGCAGCAGUGGGGAAUAUUACACAGUGGGCGGAAGCCAGAUGCAGCGACGCCGCGUGCGGGAUGACGGCCUUCGGGUUGUGAACCGAUUUCGCCGGUAACGAAGCGUGAGUGACGGUAAUGGGUAAAGAAGCACCGGCUAACUACGUG
This 468-nucleotide ribosomal RNA is filed under the name uncultured bacterium. RNAcentral describes it as "partial 16S ribosomal RNA". It matches the Rfam family "Bacterial small subunit ribosomal RNA", at positions 28 to 507 of the family's 1533-position model. The record is from RNAcentral.